RNAcentral lists this non-coding RNA (31 nucleotides) under Mus musculus (house mouse). The record is from RNAcentral. Lineage: Eukaryota; Metazoa; Chordata; Mammalia; Rodentia; Muridae.
UACAUCUGAGAAUUUCUGUGUUGGUUGAUGU